RNAcentral lists this ribosomal RNA (902 nucleotides) under Alternaria alternata. RNAcentral describes it as "SSU rRNA". It matches the Rfam family "Eukaryotic small subunit ribosomal RNA", at positions 72 to 983 of the family's 1831-position model. Lineage: Eukaryota; Fungi; Ascomycota; Dothideomycetes; Pleosporales; Pleosporaceae. The record is from RNAcentral.
CAUUAUACCGUGAAACUGCGAAUGGCUCAUUAAAUCAGUUAUCGUUUAUUUGAUAAUACCUUACUACUUGGAUAACCGUGGUAAUUCUAGAGCUAAUACAUGCUGAAAAUCCCGACUUCGGAAGGGAUGUGUUUAUUAGAUAAAAAACCAAUGCCCUUCGGGGCUUUUUGGUGAUUCAUGAUAACUUUACGGAUCGCAUAGCCUUGCGCUGGCGACGGUUCAUUCAAAUUUCUGCCCUAUCAACUUUCGAUGGUAAGGUAUUGGCUUACCAUGGUUUCAACGGGUAACGGGGAAUUAGGGUUCGAUUCCGGAGAGGGAGCCUGAGAAACGGCUACCACAUCCAAGGAAGGCAGCAGGCGCGCAAAUUACCCAAUCCCGACACGGGGAGGUAGUGACAAUAAAUACUGAUACAGGGCUCUUUUGGGUCUUGUAAUUGGAAUGAGUACAAUUUAAACCUCUUAACGAGGAACAAUUGGAGGGCAAGUCUGGUGCCAGCAGCCGCGGUAAUUCCAGCUCCAAUAGCGUAUAUUAAAGUUGUUGCAGUUAAAAAGCUCGUAGUUGAAACUUGGGCCUGGCUGGCGGGUCCGCCUCACCGCGUGCACUCGUCCGGCCGGGCCUUCCUUCUGAAGAACCUCAUGCCCUUCACUGGGCGUGCUGGGGAAUCAGGACUUUUACUUUGAAAAAAUUAGAGUGUUCAAAGCAGGCCUUUGCUCGAAUACGUUAGCAUGGAAUAAUAAAAUAGGGCGUGCGUUUCUAUUUUGUUGGUUUCUAGAGACGCCGCAAUGAUUAACAGGAACAGUCGGGGGCAUCAGUAUUCAGUUGUCAGAGGUGAAAUUCUUGGAUUUACUGAAGACUAACUACUGCGAAAGCAUUUGCCAAGGAUGUUUUCAUUAAUCAGUGAA